UAAUAAACCUGGCAGGGGAGAUACCAUGAUCUCAAAGGUGCUUUUCCCAAGCCCAGGCUUAGCCACUGCACUCUAAUGUGCUGACCCCUGCAACUUUCCUAAAUGUGGGGAACUCAACUGCAUUAAAAAGAAAAGAAAAGAUCUUUUACUAUUCUUGC
RNAcentral lists this small nuclear RNA (158 nucleotides) under Meriones unguiculatus (Mongolian gerbil). RNAcentral describes it as "U1 spliceosomal RNA (ENSMUGG00000016428.1)". It matches the Rfam family "U1 spliceosomal RNA". From Rfam's summary of the family: U1 is a small nuclear RNA (snRNA) component of the spliceosome (involved in pre-mRNA splicing). Its 5' end forms complementary base pairs with the 5' splice junction, thus defining the 5' donor site of an intron. Lineage: Eukaryota; Metazoa; Chordata; Mammalia; Rodentia; Muridae. The record is from RNAcentral.